GACGAACGCUGGCGGCGUGCUUAACACAUGCAAGUCGAACGGAAAGGCCCUGCUUUUGUGGGAUGCUCGAGUGGCGAACGGGUGAGUAACACGUGAGUAACCUGCCCUUGACUUUGGGAUAACUUCAGGAAACUGGGGCUAAUACCGGAUAGGAGCUCCUGCUGCAUGGUGGGGGUUGGAAAGUUUCGGCGGUUGGGGAUGGACUCGCGGCUUAUCAGCUUGUUGGUGGGGUAGUGGCUUACCAAGGCUUUGACGGGUAGCCGGCCUGAGAGGGUGACCGGCCACAUUGGGACUGAGAUACGGCCCAGACUCCUACGGGAGGCAGCAGUGGGGAAUAUUGCACAAUGGGCGGGAGCCUGAUGCAGCAACGCCGCGUGCGGGAUGACGGCCUUCGGGUUGUAAACCGCUUUCGCCUGUGACGAAGCGUGAGUGACGGUAAUGGGUAAAGAAGCACCGGCUAACUACGUG
RNAcentral lists this ribosomal RNA (468 nucleotides) under uncultured bacterium. RNAcentral describes it as "partial 16S ribosomal RNA". It matches the Rfam family "Bacterial small subunit ribosomal RNA", at positions 28 to 507 of the family's 1533-position model. The record is from RNAcentral.